CUCAGUGUUACUCAUGCUGCCUCCAUCCCUGGUGCCCUCUCUGUAUCUCUGUGCCUUUGUGCACACUGCUUCCUCUGCCUGGAAGCCCUUCUUCCUUUCUCCACACAACACAUCCCUCCUUACUCAUUAAAGUCCCGUACAAAUGCUAAAGGCAGCUGAUCUUGUCAGCAAACUUGGCCACCAAAUAGAAAAUCUCCUUCUAUGCCCACUAGUCAUGGACAAAACUCAAAAGUUGCAUGGGAACUUCAGUUAUCGGGCAAUGUUACCAGGGUUUGGGGCAGAAGGAACAGAUAAAAGGGACAAUUCUAAGGAAGAUGAUUGAAAGACUGACCCCAAUGUGGAGAGGAUGAUUCCAGCACUACUCGUACUGCACUAGAAUGCAAAUUGCAAGAGGGCAGAUAAAUGGUUCAUUCUGUUUCUAUUCACCGUUUCAUCGCAGGAAUGGAAGCAUAAUAGGCUCUCAGAACAUUUUUGUUCAGUGUUCAAUUGAUGAACAUAGGAGAGAGCUCAGGCUAACUUGGAAGUCAUUUAUGUGUAAGCACAGG
RNAcentral lists this long non-coding RNA (545 nucleotides) under Homo sapiens (human). Its description in RNAcentral is "HSALNT0358940". Lineage: Eukaryota; Metazoa; Chordata; Mammalia; Primates; Hominidae. The record is from RNAcentral.